UCGUGUUGUGUGGUCCAACUGAUAUUGGGAUCUGUUUCAUUUUUGGUUUCAAUUCCUAAAAUGAUAUGGGAAAGUGGAUUGACGGCAUGGAUAAGACAUAUACAUCAUGGUGGGACCCACAGUUUUUUCAGCGCAAAGGAGGCUUCACAACGGAAUCCGAAUCCCUCUCUCCCUCUCUCAUGUUCCCAAAACACAAAACAUUUGUUUUGCAAUCCCGUUGUCAUUUUCUUCUUCAGUGUAGUUCUUCUCGCCCACCCUCGCUCUUCGAUUCUGUUUCCUUUGAAGAAUCAAACGACUUCUCCCUUCUUCAUUGAUUUCUUUGAGAACCAAAGAAGGACAUUUCAAAGUGAAACAACUAUUGAUGGAGGCAGAGCCUGGUCCCGAACAGAUAAUUGAAGCAACUGAAAGCAGUAUGGAAGUUUGAGGUGGGGCCAACUUUUGAUCUCAUCCAGGUGUGCGCAUGCCUUCUAAUUGCACCUCAUUAGUUAUUGAAGCAGAAAUAGGAAAUUGCAACGAAAAGAAGGGAAACAAUAUAUACUCUUAACGUGUGCAUGGAAUGACAUGUUUAUUUCUUAUUGCAUAAGUGUUGUUUUUCACACAGGUCUUAUAUGAUGCCUGGACUGGAAUUGCAUCUUUGUUCGAUUCAUGUCUCUGUCUAAGGAUUCAGAUACUGCAUUGCAUAGCUAUCACCAUAUGAGAGGUAAGACAUUUGUUCCUCUAUGUAAGGCAGGUCUACAUGCAAGGUUUAUAUUUACUAAAGAUGAUACCACAUGAACACUUCCGUUGGCUGAACUAGUUGUUUAAAGAUGUAUUUUUCAUGAGUCGAAGGUGCUAUAAUCAGAAAGACAUUUUUAUUUAGUCCUUCUAUGUGCUAAUUAUCUUGGGAUGUUACUUAAUUAUUGCAACAUAUUUUCACAAACCUAGACCUAAGUUUACUUCUUUCUGUUAUACUCACCAGUGCUACCAGUCCAUUGACAUCUUUAGAUGUCAUUAUGCAACAGUGCAUGUUACGAGUCCAUGGCCAUAUUAAUUAUAGCCAAAAAAAAAAAAUCUAGUAGCAAAUGAUCCUAACCACCCGAUCACUUGCCAUUGAUAAAAUUCCUCUAUGGAUUGGAUUUCACAAAUAAGAUCAUCACACAAACGUCAUUUUCUUGUUAUGUGGGCUAUCCAAGUUUUAGAGUAUCAGUCAAAUGGUCCGGAUCGAAUGUUGGACCAUCCAAUGGAUACACCACCUCUUAAAUGUGCCCAUAUCCUAACUAUUCCCCACUUGGAUUAACCUAACUAUCCGAACAUUCAACAAGGGUCCAUAAAAAAAAUCCAUUGAUCGAACACUUGGGGGUUUUGACUGGUGUGAAUUUUGGACCAAAUACUAUGAAGAGCCCAAGGAUAUAUUGGACAGUUUGGAUGGAAGAACACAUCUUUUAUGAAAUCAAAAGUCCAAUGCCACACUUACUGAACAUAGCUUAAGAGGGUGGGUUUUUUUAUAAUGUCCAACACAUGGGUGAACUGAAGUGGGGUUUGCUAGAAAGAAUCAGGUGAUGUGCUUGCUCAUCUAGCCCGUUCAAUAGAUGGGACUCUGCCAUUGUCUACACCCAAAACUCUCAUUGUGCAGUUGAGCUAACCACCUGAUUGUUUAUGUUCUUUUUGACAUUAUUAACAGUAGAUUCCCUUAUUGUAGCUAAUUUGUUGAACGAUAUAGAUUGAAGAGCACACUAUCCUAACCGUUCAAUCAAUGCCCAACUUAUGGAGGCUAAAAAAUGAUCUACAAAAGUAUUUAGGACUGUUGUCUUGGUGUGAAUUCUUACCGAGAGAUGAACUGUGUUCGACAGUCCAGAUGGAUGUUGGCAUCAUCUUGGUGAACUGGGACUGUUGUCUUGGUGUGAAUUCUUACCGAGAGUGAAUGCUAGAAAAGUUCACUGGAUUUUCAAAUUUUGAUGGGAUAAUUUCUAAUUACCUUUGAAAAAUAAUUCAUUUUAGAAAUUACUAAGAAAAUAAGUAAUAUCAGUAAAGCCAUUACGUACCAUGCCUAUGGCUUCUGUUGGAUAAAUGAAAUGAUCUUGCACCUGCUUUUUGUCUGUUCUAACUGUUUGAUUCACAUGACAUAGUGGCAAAGAUACAUCCAUUCCACAUAAUAGGUAUCCAUGCUAGAUAUUAUGUCGAUCUAGAUUCUAAACCAUUCAUUUAAUCAUGCCAAUUCUAUGAUCCUAAACAUUUUAUCAGUAGCAUGAAAAUGGACAGUCAAUAUUGAGUGGAUAAACGAAAUAGGUCUAACCAUCAUCUUAAAACAUUUAUUCGAUAGAUCUCACUGUAUAUUGCCGUUCCAGAGUUACACUUUAGUUUGAUGAUUCAAACCAUGUGAUAUAUGGCUCUAUUUUCGGCAUUGACUUGACCCCCUUAUAUAAUAUGAUAAGGCCCAUGAGAGUCCGUCAGUUUGCUUGCAGGAAAAGGCUCAACCACCACUCAUCCAAUUGGAGUUGACCGAGGCCGUUUCGUUGAGAGAGGUAGACGAUUUCACCUUAUAGAAAUCAUGCUGAUUCUUCCUUUUCGCAGGAAGGGAGCGCAGACAGAUCUAACAAAUUGACCCGUUCGGAGGUUUACGAUCUUUCAAUCUGUGAGAUUUUUGCACCGGGGCUUGCUUUCAAUAGUACUAUUGAAUGAAUAGUCCUGAUUGAUGAUUGGGGCCCCACAUGUUGCUAAGGUCCCACAAACCCAAUGUUAAAAAGGUAAAUACCUAUUUUCCAUGCGGACGCUUCACAUUUGAUUAACAAUGUGAAAAGUCUUAUUAUUUGUAAUAUUCAUGGAUCUUGAUAUUUAAUAUGUCAGCUAAACAUGUUCGUAUUGACAUUUCACAUUAAAUAAACUGCAAAAAUGGACAAAGCAA
Magnolia sinica is the source of this 2881-nucleotide long non-coding RNA. RefSeq lists it as uncharacterized. The transcript has 4 exons. Lineage: Eukaryota; Viridiplantae; Streptophyta; Magnoliopsida; Magnoliales; Magnoliaceae. The record is from RefSeq and is a predicted model, not a curated record.